RNAcentral lists this unclassified non-coding RNA (228 nucleotides) under plant metagenome. Its description in RNAcentral is "partial contains small subunit ribosomal RNA, internal transcribed spacer 1, and 5.8S ribosomal RNA". The record is from RNAcentral.
UUUCCGUAGGUGAACCUGCGGAAGGAUCAUUACAGUGUUCCCUGCACUUCGGGGUAGGAUCGCCACCCUUGAUUAUUUAUGAGUGUUGCUUUGGCGGGCCUCGCGGCCUGGCCGCGCCCCGGCUUCGGCGGGGGAGCGCCCGCCAGAGGAUUCUACAAACCUGAUUAUUAGUGUCGUCUGAGUACUAUAUAAUAGUUAAAACUUUCAACAACGGAUCUCUUGGUUCUG